UUUUAAGAGAGUUUGAUCCUGGCUCAGGAUGAACGCUGGCGGUAUGCUUUACACAUGCAAGUCGGACGGGAGUUUUGAACUCCAGUGGCGGACGGGUGAGUAACACGUAAGAAUUUGCCUUUAGGAGGGGGAUAAC
This 136-nucleotide ribosomal RNA is filed under the name Flavobacteriaceae bacterium. RNAcentral describes it as "partial 16S ribosomal RNA". It matches the Rfam family "Bacterial small subunit ribosomal RNA", at positions 1 to 147 of the family's 1533-position model. The record is from RNAcentral. Lineage: Bacteria; Pseudomonadati; Bacteroidota; Flavobacteriia; Flavobacteriales; Flavobacteriaceae.